AAGUCGUAACAAGGUCUCCGUAGGUGAACCUGCGGAGGGAUCAUUACCGAGUGAGGGCCUUCUGGCCCGACCUCCAACCCUUUGAAUUCCGACUCUGUUGCCUCGGGGGCGACCCGGCCCUCACGGGCGUCGGGGCCCCCGGUGGACCACACAACUCUGCAUCCGUGCGUCUGAGUAACAACCGAAUAAGUUAAAACUUUCAACAACGGAUCUCUUGGUUCUGGCAUCGAUGAAGAACGCAGCGAAAUGCGAUAAGUAAUGUGAAUUGCAGAAUUCAGUGAAUCAUCGAAUCUUUGAACGCACAUUGCGCCCCUUGGUAUUCCGAGGGGCAUGCCUGUUCGAGCGUCAUUACACCACUCAAGCCUCGCUUGGUAUUGGGCGCCGCGGUCCGCCGCGCGCCUCAAUGACCCCGGCUGGGUCCUCCGUCCCUCAGCGUUGUGCAAAUCAAUCCGCUGGCAAGGGCGCGGGCGACGCACGCCGUUAAACCUCACAUAAGGUUGACCUCGGAUCAGGUAGGGAUACCCGCUGAACUUAAGCAUAUCAAUAAGCGGAGGAAAAGAAACCAACAGGGAUUGCCCUAGUAACGGCGAGUGAAGCGGCAACAGCUCAAAUUUGAAAUCUGGCGCAAGCCCGAGUUGUAAUUUGUAGAGGAUGCUUCGGGGCAGCGGCCGGUCUAAGUUCCUUGGAACAGGACGUCAUAGAGGGUGAGAAUCCCGUAUGCGACCGGUUGGCACCCCACACGUAGCUCCUUCGACGAGUCGAGUUGUUUGGGAAUGCAGCUCUAAAUGGGAGGUAAAUUUCUUCUAAAGCUAAAUACCGGCCAGAGACCGAUAGCGCACAAGUAGAGUGAUCGAAAGAUGAAAAGCACUUUGGAAAGAGAGUUAAAAAGCACGUGAAAUUGUUGAAAGGGAAGCGCAAGCAACCAGACUUGUCGGCGGUGUUCACCCGGUCUUCUGACCGGGCUACUCGCCGCCGGCAGGCCAACAUCACCUGGGGCCGCCGGAUAAAGGUGUCGGGAAUGUAGCUCCCCUCGGGGAGUGUUAUAGCCCGGCGCACAAUACGGUGCGCCCCGAGUGAGGUCCGCGCUUCGGCUAGGAUGUUGGCGUAAUGGUCGUUUGCGGCC
Molecule: ribosomal RNA, 1123 nt
Filed under: uncultured fungus
Lineage: Eukaryota; Fungi
Description: eukaryotic LSU rRNA
Rfam family: Eukaryotic large subunit ribosomal RNA (bases 499-1123)
Source: RNAcentral